Molecule: ribosomal RNA, 432 nt
Filed under: uncultured crenarchaeote
Lineage: Archaea; Thermoproteati; Thermoproteota
Description: partial 16S ribosomal RNA
Rfam family: Archaeal small subunit ribosomal RNA
Source: RNAcentral
UUUAAAAAUAUGGGUAAUAAGAAGGUGGGCAAGAAAGAUGGCAAACGGAGUGGUAAACCUUCGCUUCAAGUGGUGUUCAUGAUUACUGGGCUUAAAGCGCCCGUAGACGGUCCGGUGAGUCCCCCCUUAAAUCUCCGGGCUCAAACCGGGGGCCGGGGGCAUAUAUCCGGGCUUGAGGGCGGGAGAGGCCUGCGGUUCUUCCGGGGUUGGGGCGAAAUUCUAUUAUUCCGGGAGGGCCCCCCGUGGCGAAAACCGCCGGCUGGAACCCCCCCCGCCGUUGAGGGCGGAAACCCGGGGGACCAAACGGGUUUAAUUACCGGGUAGUUCCGGCUGUUAACCAAUCCGGCUUGGUUUUGGGCGAGCGAUAGGGCCCGCCCAGUGCCGCAGGGAAGCCGUAAGCCCGCCGCCUGGGAGACGUUCGCAGCAUCCUUU